UAAGAGGUACCGCCUGCCCUGUGACUAAAAGUUUAACGGCCGCGGUAUUUUGACCGUGCAAAGGUAGCGCAAUCACUUGCCUUUUAAAUGAGGGCCUGUAUGAAUGGCAUAACGAGGGCUUAACUGUCUCCUCUCCCUAGUCAAUGAAAUUGAUCUCCCCGUGCAGAAGCGGGGAUAAAAACAUAAGACGAGAAGACCCUGUGGAGCUUUAGACCAUAAAUAGACCAUGUCAAGGACAACAACAAAUUACUCAAACAAAUUGGCUACUGUUUUUAUGUCUUUGGUUGGGGCGACCGCGGGAAAAUAAGAAUCUCCCAUGAGGAUAGAGAAAACCCUAUUCUUAUAACCAAGAGCUUCCCCUCUAAGUAACAGAACAUCUGACCUUUAUGAUCCGGCCUGGCCGAUCAACGGACCAAGUUACCCCAGGGAUAACAGCGCAAUCCUCUUUUAGAGUCCAUAUCGACAAGGGGGUUUACGACCUCGAUGUUGGAUCAGGACAUCCUAAUGGUGCAGCCGCUAUUAAGGGUUUGUUUGUUCAACAAUUAA
Molecule: ribosomal RNA, 546 nt
Filed under: Oryzias latipes (Japanese medaka)
Lineage: Eukaryota; Metazoa; Chordata; Actinopteri; Beloniformes; Adrianichthyidae
Description: partial 16S large subunit ribosomal RNA
Rfam family: Bacterial large subunit ribosomal RNA
Source: RNAcentral